Cephus cinctus (wheat stem sawfly) is the source of this 766-nucleotide long non-coding RNA. RefSeq lists it as uncharacterized. The record is from RefSeq and is a predicted model, not a curated record. The transcript has 5 exons. NCBI's taxonomy places the organism in Eukaryota, Metazoa, Arthropoda, Insecta, Hymenoptera, Cephidae.
GAAGACCAUGCGUGGCGCCGCAAGUUAAAAUCAGCUGUUCCCUUGCAACUGGGUCGCCAUAACGGCGUCCUAAGAACUUUGCCAAUUCUUCGCGACACUCCCAAAGACCUGAAGUGAUGCCAUAUUGAAACAGUCACAAUCAUCAGGUUUGAUGGAUCAGUUCAAUUGACUUUGCACUCUCACCAAUCUGUGCUGCGUCGCCCUCAUCAUCAUGAGUCCACAUUGCUUGAGUACAUCAGGACCUGGUGCACCCACUGAGAGUUUGCUGCCUGACGUUCACAGCACAACUGAUAUACCACAGCUGCUGACUAUACACAACCAUUUUAACAUCGUUACUAACUGCAUAUGCGUAGCAUGAUUUCACAAGCAUGUACAUACACUGAUGUAUCACUGCUUGAGAGAAUUACACUCAUCAACAUUGCCGUACGUGUACGUAUACGUUACGUAAUAAAAAAAUGAAUAACGUUGGCUGCAAUAGUCGAUCCGAAUUUCCCUUAUCAAGAUGAACCUAUACAAACAGUAAUGUGACUGAUAAAGGAUUGAAUCUCCUCAUUAAAAGAUUCGUGACACAAUUAUGAGGGAGAUGAAUCUUCCUAGUAGACCAGUCGAAUUACGGACUAUGAGAAGAAUUGCCGCGAGGAAUACUCGGACCUCAAACACUGUAAAGAAGCUGAAGUCAAGUACUAGUGGUAGAAAAAGUAUAAAUAGAAAUUUUAUAAAUUGAAAACUGAAUAGAAUCAGUACAAAAUAAACAUUUUUAAUAAUA